This 253-nucleotide ribosomal RNA is filed under the name Burkholderia cenocepacia. RNAcentral's name for it is "partial 16S ribosomal RNA". It matches the Rfam family "Bacterial small subunit ribosomal RNA", at positions 58 to 311 of the family's 1533-position model. The record is from RNAcentral. RNAcentral also lists the same sequence under 1 other name. Lineage: Bacteria; Pseudomonadati; Pseudomonadota; Betaproteobacteria; Burkholderiales; Burkholderiaceae.
CAAGUCGAACGGCAGCACGGGUGCUUGCACCUGGUGGCGAGUGGCGAACGGGUGAGUAAUACAUCGGAACAUGUCCUGUAGUGGGGGAUAGCCCGGCGAAAGCCGGAUUAAUACCGCAUACGAUCUACGGAUGAAAGCGGGGGACCUUCGGGCCUCGCGCUAUAGGGUUGGCCGAUGGCUGAUUAGCUAGUUGGUGGGGUAAAGGCCUACCAAGGCGACGAUCAGUAGCUGGUCUGAGAGGACGACCAGCCAC